UUGCACGCUGGCGGCAGGCCUAACACAUGCAAGUCGAGCGGAUGAAGGGAGCUUGCUCCUGGAUUCAGCGGCGGACGGGUGAGUAAUGCCUAGGAAUCUGCCUGGUAGUGGGGGAUAACGUCCGGAAACGGGCGCUAAUACCGCAUACGUCCUGAGGGAGAAAGUGGGGGAUCUUCGGACCUCACGCUAUCAGAUGAGCCUAGGUCGGAUUAGCUAGUUGGUGGGGUAAAGGCCUACCAAGGCGACGAUCCGUAACUGGUCUGAGAAGAUGAUCAGUCACACUGGAACUGAGACACGGUCCAGACUCCUACGGGAGGCAGCAGUGGGGAAUAUUGGACAAUGGGCGAAAGCCUGAUCCAGCCAUGCCGCGUGUGUGAAGAAGGUCUUCGGAUUGUAAAGCACUUUAAGUUGGGAGGAAGGGCAGUAAGUUAAUACCUUGCUGUUUUGACGUUACCAACAGAAUAAGCACCGGCUAACUUCGUG
RNAcentral lists this ribosomal RNA (483 nucleotides) under uncultured bacterium. RNAcentral's name for it is "partial 16S ribosomal RNA". It matches the Rfam family "Bacterial small subunit ribosomal RNA", at positions 30 to 507 of the family's 1533-position model. The record is from RNAcentral.